This 2883-nucleotide ribosomal RNA is filed under the name Lactobacillus corticis. RNAcentral describes it as "23S ribosomal RNA". It matches the Rfam family "Bacterial large subunit ribosomal RNA". Lineage: Bacteria; Bacillati; Bacillota; Bacilli; Lactobacillales; Lactobacillaceae. The record is from RNAcentral.
CAAGCAGAGAAGGGCGCACGGUGAAUGCCUAGGCACUAGCAGCCGAUGAAGGACGUGACGAACUACGAAAAGCUUCGGGGAGAUGUAAGUAAUCAGAGAUCCGGAGAUGUCCGAAUGGGGGAACCCAGCCGAGAGGCUAUCUGGAAGAAAUUUCAGAGGGAAUACGCAGUGAACUGAAACAUCUAAGUAGCUGCAGGAAGAGAAAGAAAAAUCGAUUUCCCAAGUAGCGGCGAGCGAACAGGAAAGAGCCUAAACCUGAGGAUUUAUCCUUGGGGGUUGUAGGACUGCAAGAAGGGGACCGGAAGAUAGACGAAUGAACUGGGAAGUUCAGCCAGAGAGGGUGAGAGCCCCGUAAUCGAAAUCGGAAGGAAGCCGAGCAGGAUCCUGAGUAGGGCGGAACACGAGGAAUUCCGUUUGAAGCAACGAGGACCAUCUCGUAAGGCUAAAUACUAGCAAGUGACCGAUAGUGAACCAGUACCGUGAGGGAAAGGUGAAAAGAACCCCGGGAGGGGAGUGAAAGAGAACCUGAAACCGUGUGCCUACAAGUAGUCAGAGCCCGUUAAGGGGUGAUGGCGUGCCUUUUGUAGAAUGAACCGGCGAGUUACGUUAUAUAGCGAGGUUAAGGCAGAAAAGCCGGAGCCGGAGCGAAAGCGAGUCUGAAGAGGGCGAAGAGUUGUAUGAUGUAGACCCGAAACCAAGUGACCUACCCAUGGCCAGGUUGAAGGUGCGGUAAAACGCACUGGAGGACCGAACCCACGUAAGUUGAAAAUUGCGGGGAUGAGCUGUGGGUAGCGGUGAAAUUCCAAACGAACUUGGAGAUAGCUGGUUCUCUCCGAAAUAGCUUUAGGGCUAGCCUCGAGCGAAGGUCAAUGGAGGUAGAGCGCUGUUUGGACUAGGGGCCCGUCAGGGGUUACUGAAUCCAGAUAAACUGCGAAUACCAUUGAAGCGUGCUCGGGAGUCAGACUGCGAGUGAUAAGAUCCGUAGUCGAAAGGGAAACAGCCCAGAUCACCAGUUAAGGUCCCCAAAUCUAUGCUAAGUGGAAAAGGAUGUGGAGUUGCGUAGACAACUAGGACGUUGGCUCAGAAGCAGCCAUCAUUCAAAGAGUGCGUAAUAGCUCACUAGUCGAGUGGCGCUGCGCCGAAGAUUUACCGGGGCUAAGCAUAGUACCGAAACUGUGGAUGCAUCGCAAGAUGCGUGGUAGGAGAGCGUUCUAACGGCGGAGAAGCAUGAUCGAGAGGACAUGUGGAGCAGUUAGAAGUGAGAAUGCCGGUAUGAGUAGCGAAAGAUAGGUGAGAAUCCUAUCCGCCGAAAGACUAAGGUUUCCUGGGGCAGGCUCGUCCGCCCAGGGUAAGUCGGGACCUAAGGCAAGGCCGAGAGGCGUAGUCGAUGGAUAACAGGUAGAGAUUCCUGUACUGCGUUAAAUCGCGAUGAGCGAAGGAGGGACGCAGGAGGCAAAGCACGCAUGGGGCUGGAACCAUGUUUAAGCGUCAAGGGAGAAAGCGAGUGAAAUGCUUGCUUUUGAUAAUUCUGAGGCGUGAUGAGGAGCGAAAUUAGAGUAGCGAAGGUGCAGAGUCACACUGCCAAGAAAAGCUUCUAGCCAGAGAUAACGUACCCGUACCGCAAACCGACACAGGUAGUCGAGUGGAGAACACUAAGGCGAGCGAGAGAACUCUCGUUAAGGAACUCGGCAAAAUGACCCCGUAACUUCGGGAGAAGGGGUGCUGAUUGAGAGAUCAGCCGCAGAGAAUAGGCCCAAACAACUGUUUAUCAAAAACACAGGUAUCUGCAAAAUCGUAAGAUGACGUAUAGGUGCUGACACCUGCCCGGUGCUGGAAGGUUAAGAGGAGAGCUUAGCGCAAGCGAAGGUUCGAAUUGAAGCCCCAGUAAACGGCGGCCGUAACUAUAACGGUCCUAAGGUAGCGAAAUUCCUUGUCGGGUAAGUUCCGACCUGCACGAAAGGUGAAAUGAUUUGGGCACUGUCUCAACGAGAGACUCGGUGAAAUUAUAAUACCCGUGAAGAUGCGGGUUACCCGCGACAGGACGGAAAGACCCCAUGGAGCUUCACUGUAGCUUGAUAUUGAGUAUCUUUUAAACAUGUACAGGAUAGGUAGGAGCCGAAGAAGGCAGUACGCUAGUAUAGCCGGAGGCGCUGUUGGGAUACUACCCUUGUUUGAAGGAUGCUCUAACCUAGACGCGGAAGCGGCGUCAGGGACAGUGUCAGGUGGGCAGUUUGACUGGGGCGGUCGCCUCCUAAAGUGUAACGGAGGCGCCCAAAGGUUCCCUCAGAAUGGUUGGAAAUCAUUCGCAGAGUGUAAAGGUAUAAGGGAGCUUGACUGCGAGAGAGACAACUCGAGCAGGGACGAAAGUCGGGCUUAGUGAUCUGGUGGUACUGAAUGGAAAGGCCAUCACUCAACGGAUAAAAGCUACCCUGGGGAUAACAGGCUUAUCUCCCCCAAGAGUUCACAUCGACGGGGAGGUUUGGCACCUCGAUGUCGGCUCGUCGCAUCCUGGGGCUGAAGUCGGUCCCAAGGGUUGGGCUGUUCGCCCAUUAAAGCGGCACGCGAGCUGGGUUCAGAACGUCGUGAGACAGUUCGGUCCCUAUCCGUCGUGGGCGCAGGAAAUUUGAGAGGAGCUGUCCUUAGUACGAGAGGACCGGGAUGGACGCACCGCUGGUGUACCAGUUGUUCUGCCAAGAGCACAGCUGGGUAGCUAAGUGCGGAAGGGAUAAGCGCUGAAAGCAUCUAAGUGCGAAGCCCCCCUCAAGAUGAGAUUUCCCAUGCGAAAGCAGUAAGACACCUCAGAGACGAUGAGGUAGAUAGGCUGGGAGUGGAAGAGCCGCGAGGCUUGGAGCGGACCAGUACUAAUCAGUCGAGGACUUGACC